This 782-nucleotide long non-coding RNA is filed under the name Coturnix japonica (Japanese quail). Its description in RNAcentral is "lncRNA (ENSCJPG00005002719.1)". Lineage: Eukaryota; Metazoa; Chordata; Aves; Galliformes; Phasianidae. The record is from RNAcentral.
CUGUGCCCCAUAGAUGUGUGGGGUGGACCCAUAGAUGGGGUCUGUGCCCUAUAGAUGGGGUCUGUGCCCCAUGGAUGUGUGGGGCUGCCCUAUAGAUGGGGUCUAUGCCCCAUAGAUGGGUGGGGUGGACCCAUAGAUGGAGGCUGUGCCCCAUGGAUGUGUGGGGCUGCCCCAUAGAUGGAGGCUGUGCCCCAUAGAUGGAGGUUGUGCCCCAUAGAUGUGUGGGGCUGCCCCAUAGAUGGGGUCUAUGCCCCAUAGAUGUGUGGGGCUGCCCCAUAGAUGGAGGCUGUGCCCCAUAGAUGGGGUCUGUGCCCUAUAGAUGGGGUCUGUGCCCCAUAGAUGUGUGGGGCUGCCCCAUAGAUGUGUAACCCCGCCCCCUUUUCCCUUGGCCCCGCCCCCAGGUGCUGGUGCUGCGCCGUGAUUGGUCCUCGGUUCUGCAGUCGCUGCUCGUCAAUCUGCCGGCGUGGGCGGAGCAAAGAGCGGCGUGACGUCAUCGGCGGCCUCAUGAAUAAUUAAUUGGGGGGGGGGGGCACCCGUUGUAAUAGGAGAUCCCAGCUAUGGGGCAAUAUGGGGUAAUGUGGGAGGCUAUGGGGCAAUAUGGGGGGCUAUGGGGUGUUAUGGGGCAAUAUGGGGUUGCUAUGGGGCAAUAUGGGGGGCUAUGGGUCUCUAUGGGUCAAUAUGGGUCUCUAUGGGGCAAUAUGGGGGGCUAUGGGGCCAUCAGUGGGUCUCUAUGGGUCAAUAUGGGUCUCUAUGGGGCAAUAUGGGGUGCUAUGGGGCCAUCA